AUAACUGUACAACACUUGUUCUCAGUAAAACAAAACUCACAUUACAUGUUUAAAUAUCCCUUAUGUAUAAACAGGUUACAGAGGUUAGUACAGGCAUAAGACUAACUUCAGUAACCUGGCAGUAUGUUCUACACAGAAAUAUAACUGUACAACACUUGUUCUCAGUAAAACAAAACUCAUUUUACAUUGUUGACUAUCCCUUAUGUAUAAACAGGUUACAGGGGUUAGUACAGGCAUAAGACUAACUUCAG
RNAcentral lists this long non-coding RNA (251 nucleotides) under Mytilus galloprovincialis (Mediterranean mussel). The record is from RNAcentral. Lineage: Eukaryota; Metazoa; Mollusca; Bivalvia; Mytilida; Mytilidae.